This 293-nucleotide ribosomal RNA is filed under the name uncultured bacterium. RNAcentral describes it as "partial 16S ribosomal RNA". It matches the Rfam family "Bacterial small subunit ribosomal RNA", at positions 504 to 796 of the family's 1533-position model. The record is from RNAcentral.
UGUGCCAGCCGCCGCGGUAAUACGUAGGUGGCAAGCGUUGUCCGGAUUUACUGGGCGUAAAGGAUGCGUAGGCGGAUAUUUAAGUGAGAUGUGAAAUUCCCGAGCUUAACUUGGGAGCUGCAUUUCAAACUGGAUAUCUAGAGUGCGGGAGAGGAGAAUGGAAUUCCUAGUGUAGCGGUGAAAUGCGUAGAGAUUAGGAAGAACACCAGUGGCGAAGGCGAUUCUCUGGACCGUAACUGACGCUGAGGCAUGAAAGCGUGGGUAGCAAACAGGAUUAGAAACCCCGGUAGUCC